Molecule: ribosomal RNA, 485 nt
Filed under: uncultured bacterium
Lineage: Bacteria
Description: partial 16S ribosomal RNA
Rfam family: Bacterial small subunit ribosomal RNA
Source: RNAcentral
GAUGAACGCUAGCGGCAGGCCUAAUACAUGCAAGUCGAACGGUGUCUUCGGACAUAGUGGCGCACGGGUGCGUAACACGUAUGCAACCUACCUUACAUUGGGGGAUAGCCUUUCGAAAGGGAGAUUAAUACCGCAUAAGACGGUAGCUGGGCAUCCAGCAGCUGUUAAAGAUUUAUCGAUGUAUGCUGGGCAUGCGUCCAAUUAGCUAGUUGGUGAGGUAACGGCUCACCAAGGCAAUGAUGGGUAGGGGAACUGAGAGGUCAAUCCCCCACCCGGGCACUGAGAUACGGGCGAGACUCCUACGGGAGGCAGCAGUAGGGAAUAUUGGGCAAUGGACGCAAGUCUGACCCAGCCAUGCCGCGUGCAGGAUGAAGGCGUUAUGCGUUGUAAACUGCUUUUAUACAGGAAGAAACUACUCUUGCGAGAGGCAUUGACGGUACUGUAUGAAUAAGCACCGGCUAACUCCGUGCCAGCAGCCGCCGUAA